GAGUUUGAUCCUGGCUCAGGACGAACGCUGGCGGCGCGCCUCAUACAUGCAAGUCGAACGAGAAGCCCGGAGCUUGCUCUGGGUGGAAAGUGGCGAACGGGUGAGGAACACGUGAGGAACCUGCCCUGGAGACCGGGAUAACACCGGGAAACCGGUGCUAAUACCGGAUGCCCUCAUCGGACCGCAUGGUCUGAUGAGGAAAUGGAUUCCGCUCCAGGAUGGUCUCGCGGCCUAUCAGCUUGUUGGCGGGGUAAUGGCUCACCAAGGCAAUGAUCGGUAGCCGGUCUGAGAGGAUGGCCGGCCACACUGGAACUGAGACACGGUCCAGACUCCUACGGGAGGCAGCAGUGGGGAAUCUUGCGCAAUGGGCGAAAGCCUGACGCAGCAACGCCGCGUGGGGGAUGAAGCUUCUCGGAGUGUAAACCCCUUUCGACCCGGACGAACCCCCGCAAGGGAUUGACGGUACGGGUAGAAGAAGCCCCGGCUAACUACGUGCCAGCAGCCGCGGUAAAACGUAGGGGGCCAGCGUUGCUCGGAAUUACUGGGCGUAAAGGGUCCGUAGGCGGUGCGGCAAGUCGGAAGUGAAAUCUCAGGGCUUAACCCUGAGGCUGCUCCCGAAACUGCCGUGCUCGAGUGCGAGAGAGGCGAGUGGAAUUGCAGGUGUAGCGGUGAAAUGCGUAGAUAUCUGCAGGAACAUCUGAGGCGAAAGCGGCUCGCUGGAUCGCAACUGACGCUGAGGGACGAAAGCGUGGGGAGCAAACAGGAUUAGAUACCCUGGUAGUCCACGCCGUAAACGAUGAGAACUAGAUGUUGGUAGGCUUGACCUAUUAGUAUCGAAGCUAACGCGAUAAGUUCUCCGCCUGGGGAGUACGGCCGCAAGGCUAAAACUCAAAGGAAUUGACGGGGGCCCGCACAAGCGGUGGAGCAUGUGGUUUAAUUCGAUGCAACGCGAAGAACCUUACCUACCCUUGACAUCCAAAGAAUUUUGCAGAGAUGUGAAAGUGCCGAAAGGAACUUUGAGACAGGUGCUGCAUGGCUGUCGUCAGCUCGUGUUGUGAGAUGUUGGGUUAAGUCCCGCAACGAGCGCAACCCUCGUCUUCAGUUGCCAUCGGGUUAAGCCGGGCACUCUGAAGAAACUGCCGGUGAUAAGCCGGAGGAAGGCGGGGAUGACGUCAAGUCCUCAUGGCCCUUAUGGGCUGGGCUACACACGUGCUACAAUGGCGGUGACAGAGGGACGCGAAGGAGCGAUCCUUCAGCCAAUCUCGAAAAGCCGUCUCAGUUCGGAUUGCUCUCUGCAACUCGAGAGCAUGAAGUUGGAAUCGCUAGUAAUCGCGGAUCAGCAUGCCGCGGUGAUACGUUCCCGGGCCUUGUACACAC
RNAcentral lists this ribosomal RNA (1377 nucleotides) under uncultured bacterium. RNAcentral describes it as "partial 16S ribosomal RNA". It matches the Rfam family "Bacterial small subunit ribosomal RNA". The record is from RNAcentral.